Molecule: ribosomal RNA, 440 nt
Filed under: uncultured bacterium
Lineage: Bacteria
Description: partial 16S ribosomal RNA
Rfam family: Bacterial small subunit ribosomal RNA
Source: RNAcentral
CCUACGGGAGGCAGCAGUGGGGAAUAUUGCACAAUGGGGGAAACCCUGAUGCAGCGACGCCGCGUGAGUGAAGAAGUAAUUCGUUAUGUAAAGCUCUAUCAGCAGGGAAGAAAAUGACGGUACCUGAGUAAGAAGCCCCGGCUAACUACGUGCCAGCAGCCGCGGUAAUACGUAGGGGGCAAGCGUUAUCCGGAUUUACUGGGUGGAAAGGGAGCGUAGACGGCAGUGCAAGUCUGGAGGGAAAGGCGGGGGCUCAACCCCCGGACUGCUCUGGAAACUGUACGGCUGGAGUGCAGGAGAGGUAAGUGGAAUGCGUAGUGUAGCGGUGAAAUGCGUAGAUAUUAGGAGGAACACCAGUGGCGAAGGCGGCUUACUGGACUGUAACUGACGUUGAGGCUCGAAAGCGUGGGGAGCAAACAGGAUUAGAUACCCGAGUAGUC